AUGACUUUGAUCAGCGUCUUCAUCUGCACACUGGCCCUCUGGACUCAAGGAUCCAGAGGUCAGGUGACUGUGACUCAGACUCCUUCAGUGCAAACUGUUGCUCCAGGAAACACCGUCACCAUCAACUGUAGAACCAGCAGCUCUACUGGCAACCUCCACUGGUACCUGCAGAAAUCUGGAGAAGCUCCUAAACUCCUGAUCUACAAUAUUAAUAGCUUACAACUCAAUGCUCUAGGAGCCUAUUUCGCUAAGAAGGAAGCUGCCGGACUCACGCUCUCACACACGCUGUCUCUGCCUGCCUCGGGCCACCUGCUCAAUGCUGUGUGUGUCACCUGCUCUCUGCACCUCAGGGCCACACAGAGGACAUCAUUCCACCUGAACUUUGACCUGUGA
Non-coding RNA from Clarias gariepinus (North African catfish), 393 nucleotides. The record is from the annotation of a RefSeq genome assembly. Lineage: Eukaryota; Metazoa; Chordata; Actinopteri; Siluriformes; Clariidae.